This 1160-nucleotide long non-coding RNA is filed under the name Heterocephalus glaber (naked mole-rat). RNAcentral's name for it is "lncRNA (ENSHGLG00100036490.1)". Lineage: Eukaryota; Metazoa; Chordata; Mammalia; Rodentia; Bathyergidae. The record is from RNAcentral.
AAGGCAGGAAUAAGGAACAGAUACAUCACUAGCACGCUGGUGGGGUGAGACUCGGCAGACACGGGAAGAGGCUCCUAGGGACAGUUCACCCCAGGCUUACGUCCUCUUCAUGUUCUGGUCUUUCCUUCCAGAGGGACGCCGCGGAAGCGGAGCUGCAGCUGAACCUCGCUGGCGACGGGGCUCCGCGGAGAGAGGGAGAGAAAGAAAAGAGCGAAGGAGAGCCAGCUGUGAGUGCGUUUCCCGUUCCUGGCUCCUCCUAGGAGGCCUCGGCCUCAGUUCUGCAUAUUUUACUCCCGCGCUGGGAAACCCUAAACGACUCCAGCAGCCCGGCGCGCAGGGCUGUAACCUUCCCCCGUUCUCACGGAGACGCAGAGGCGAGGCCGUCCAGGAUCUCCAGGAGUGCCCGGUUUCCCUAACCUCCACCCCAGGUCCCAGGCAGGACCCCAGGCUGCGCUGGCAGGCAGACCCCGCCUCGGGCUGCUCUUUCCUGCGCUGUCGACCGCGAGGGCGUCUACCAGCUGCACGUCCAGGUGACCCUGGCCAGGUGCUGCUCCCAAGGGACACCAGGCACCGCAAUGCCACCCUGGCCGUGGGGCUCUGAACCCCGCCCCCCACAGAGUCAGCCUGCUGCGCCUGGGCUUGUCCAGGCCUGCACUGUGGCCUCUCAGCGCCUGACGCCCUCUGCGCCAACCUCAGCCCCCAGCGCCUGCCCUCCCCCAACACCGACAAGAACUUCUUGGGCAUCCACUCCUGACCACCCCCGGCUCGGCUGCUCUGCUUCUGUUUUCUGUAAAUGAAUGUGUUUUUCAAUUUCACCUUGACUUGCAUAUUUGAUGGGUAUGGCCCAUCUCCUGGAUGCUUGGAGCAACCUUUGGCUAUGUGGCUGGCCUUGUUAUUUCACCACUCUGGAUAUACUGGAAUAGAAAGCAACUUACAUACAGGAACAAUUAACCGGAGCAAAGGGAGAGACAUUUCUUUGUGCAGAUUCCAUAAGGGCUGUGCAGAAAUGUGUAUGGUCAAAGCCAAGCAGUUCCAUUUACACCACUGUUGUUUUUUUUUAAAUAUAGUUUCAACAUGAUGUGAUUGUAGCUUUGUAAACUAUGAAAACCCUGAGAGAUUGUACCUUCUAGUUGAACUAAAGUAUUUAUAAUAGAUUGUGC